This is a long non-coding RNA of Myotis daubentonii (Daubenton's bat), 1706 nucleotides long. RefSeq lists it as uncharacterized. Lineage: Eukaryota; Metazoa; Chordata; Mammalia; Chiroptera; Vespertilionidae. The record is from RefSeq and is a predicted model, not a curated record. The transcript is spliced from 3 exons.
GCUUGUCCUUCACGUUUUCCUGAGUGUGGCACGGGUUUUUGUAAGCCACCAUCUGAAUGCUAUCCAGUUGAGGGUGAGAUACGAAGAUCUGCUCAUAGCAUUCUAUAAAAUUGCAUUCUCUGGUCGACAACAGCAGAGCCAAGGGGUCAUUCUUUUUUCCUUUCCCCUCCUCUGUAAGGGAACGAGAGAGACAGACAAGCUCAGAGUCCACAUCUCUGGGCCGUGUGAGUAAUGCUUUCCUAUUUUAUCCAGGCACUGACAGAAACACCCCACGGAGGGCAAACAAUAAUAUAUAAUAAAUUAUAGAUGCCAGGAAAUUGAAGGACAUUACGCUUCCGCAUUUCUGCCUUCUAAUAGAGCAGCGGGGACGAGCCGCCCUUUUCGUCUGUCUGCUCGCGGACCGUUUGUUCCUUCACACCCACUGUGUCGGGGGUCACCUGCGCGGGACCUGGGCAGACAGCCUGUAAAAGCAGACAGCUGACCAGGGAAGGAAGACAGCAAAUCUGCACGCCCAUACCUGCCCCUGCCUCUGGGCCCCAGGUACAGGCCUCAGCAAAAGUCGUAUGUGAGGCAGCAAAUCUGACCUGAGACUAGACCGAGGUUCAUCAGCAAUCCAUCAUCCCUCCCACUCGCCUUGAACCCAUCAGCAGCGACGUCUUGCCAAUGAACAAAAGGACUACCCAGAGAAGCCCUUUCAACCUCGGUCGUCCUUUGCCCCUCAACUUUUACCCCUUAAAUCAACUACAAUCAUUCCGUUUUCACUGGCACCUUUCCUGAAAGGCGAAACAAUGUUGUCACCUCCUUCCAGAAACUCUUCCUUUAUCUCUCAUGACACUGAAUUACAGAAGCUUGACCUGCCUUCUCUUGAAGUUAGAGAUGGAACUCUUUCUCUGGUCGACCUUCCAUGUGAUUAAACUUCCAGUUUGAACCAAAUAAUUGAGUUCAGAGAGAAAAAAUAAGUCUCUCUCUGAGAUGGCCUUUCGAAGGUAACCUACCUCACUUUCAACUCUAGCGUAUCCACACUUACGCCUCUAUCUGCAACCUCCUACCCAUGCCUUCAUUCUCCCUAAAACAAGCUGGUGUUGGACUUCCUCUCCCCCACCUUCACCCCGGGCUUUCUUCCCUGCUGACCCUCCUCCUGUCUCUGCUGCCCACCCACCAGGGCAGCAGCUGCACAUUGGGAUCUCAAGCAUGCGCACUGCUGCUCGUCGUUGGACCCUGCCACUCUUUUUGCAUUUCUGAGUGAGUCAGAUGCCUCUGCCAACACCGUCACCACUUGGGUCUUUCUUGCUUCUCCGCCUAGCUCCCUCUUGCUUACUCUGGCUAACCAUCUUUUUUCUGUGUGUUCUGUGUUCUGCUCACCUAUCUCUUUCUUUCUUCAGCCAAAUUUGUUAGGUAAUCAUGGUUGGGCAAGGCAUGUGUUGGCAUGAGUUUGGGCUGAUGGGGUUUUCAUUUAAUCCUUAUGAUAUCCUUACGAUGUAGGGAGGGUGGAGAUCUUCACUGGCUCCCUUUAAAGAUGAUAAAAAUGGCCCUAGCCGGUUUGGCUCAGUGGAUAGAGCGUUGGCCUGUGGACUGAAGGGUCUCAGGUUCGAUUCUACACAAGGACACACGCCAGGGUUGCGGGCUCCAUCCCCAGUGGGGGGCGUGCAGGAGGCAGUGGAUCUAUCGUUCUCCCUCAUCUCAUUGAUGUUUCUCUCCCUCUCUCC